UCUUUGUUAGUAUAUCGGUUAGUACACGCGCCUGUCAUGUCACUGACCGCGCGAAAGCGGGGUUCGACUCCCCGACAGAGAG
The sequence is a transfer RNA, 82 nucleotides long. It matches the Rfam family "tRNA". From Rfam's summary of the family: Transfer RNA (tRNA) molecules are approximately 80 nucleotides in length. Their secondary structure includes four short double-helical elements and three loops (D, anti-codon, and T loops). Further hydrogen bonds mediate the characteristic L-shaped molecular structure. tRNAs have two regions of fundamental functional importance: the anti-codon, which is responsible for specific mRNA codon recognition, and the 3' end, to which the tRNAs corresponding amino acid is attached (by aminoacyl-tRNA synthetases). tRNAs cope with the degeneracy of the genetic code in two manners: having more than one tRNA (with a specific anti-codon) for a particular amino acid; and 'wobble' base-pairing, i.e. permitting non-standard base-pairing at the 3rd anti-codon position.